RNAcentral lists this unclassified non-coding RNA (331 nucleotides) under soil metagenome. Its description in RNAcentral is "partial contains 5.8S ribosomal RNA, internal transcribed spacer 2, and large subunit ribosomal RNA". The stretch from base 1 to 120 matches the Rfam family "5.8S ribosomal RNA", at positions 35 to 154 of the family's 154-position model. The record is from RNAcentral.
GAUGAAGAACGCAGCGAAAUGCGAUAAGUAAUGUGAAUUGCAGAAUUCAGUGAAUCAUCGAAUCUUUGAACGCACAUUGCGCCCCCUGGUAUUCCGGGGGGCAUGCCUGUUCGAGCGUCAUUUCACCACUCAAGCCUCGCUUGGUAUUGGGCAACGCGGUCCGCCGCGUGCCUCAAAUCGACCGGCUGGGUCUUCUGUCCCCUAAGCGUUGUGGAAACUAUUCGCUAAAGGGUGCUCGGGAGGUUACGCCGUAAAACAAACCCAUUUCUAAGGUUGACCUCGGAUCAGGUAGGGAUACCCGCUGAACUUAAGCAUAUCAAUAAGCGGAGGA